CCUACGGGAGGCAGCAGUGGGGAAUAUUGCUCAAUGGGGGAAACUCUGAAGCAGCAACGCCGCGUGGAGGAUGAAGGUUUUAGGAGUGUUAACUCCUUUUGUUAGAGGAGAUUAUGACGGUAUCUAACGAAUAAGCACCGUCUAACUCCGUUCCAGCAGCCGCGGUAAUACGGAGGGUGCAAGCGUUACUCGGAUUCACUGGGCGUAAAGAGUGCGUAGGCGGGGUAAUAAGUCAGAUGUGAAAUCCCGUAGCUUAACUACAGAACUGCAUUUGAAACUGUUACUCUGGAGAGUGGUAGCGGUAGGUGGAAUGCAUGGUGUAGCGGUAAAAUGCUUAGAGAUCAAACGGAACACCGAUUGCGAAGGCGACUUACCAGGACAUUACUGACGCUGAGGCACGAAAGCGUGGGGAGCAAACAGGAUUAGAUACCCCUGUAGUC
Molecule: ribosomal RNA, 440 nt
Filed under: uncultured bacterium
Lineage: Bacteria
Description: partial 16S ribosomal RNA
Rfam family: Bacterial small subunit ribosomal RNA
Source: RNAcentral